GGGGCCUGACCGACCCCGACCCAGACGGUUUGGGUUCAACUCUCCUGCACAAAAUAAGUGGAAAUGCUGAUGGAAAUAGUUAGAAUAUAUUUUCUAAAGAGCUGACCCACUAGCAAGGGGCAUCAGCCCAAGGUCUGGGUGCCGGGAGCCCAGAAUGUUAAGAUUGCUUUCGCCCGGGCGUUUGCUGAACCCGAGGAACAGAGCUCCUGAUGUGGGGAGUGGCGGGCGCGCUCGGGGUGCACGUGCAACGGAGACACCGCCCCUAAACCUGGGGCCCUGAGGCUAACAGCUAACAGUGGCCCUGCCGUUACGGCCAGUGUCAGGUGCCAGCUGGGCUGGACCAGGAAUUCCCAGAAACCUGGCAAGGCAUGAUUUGGGGUGGGUCGUGCUGAGGGCCACACCAUCCGCUUCCCCGCUUCUGAGGCCUUCCGACCUGGGCUGAGCCCGGCUACCCGAGUCCCGGGGUCUCCGGCUCACAGACUUCUCGGCCUCCGUAAUUGCAAACGCCAGCUCCCCCAGUCCAUCUCCUGUCCUGGAUCUACGUCUAUAUCCUACUGGAUCCGUCUCUCUGGAGAACCCUAAUACAGCUGUCAACACAAGGAUGAACUAACUACAAGAAGGCCUGAAUAGGAACUCUCCCAGGGGACGAAGAGGUUUCAGCCUUCAGCAAAGGAUGGUUCAUAGAAACCGUUCGCAUAGUCGGCCCUCCACGGACUGCAACCCUAGUUAAUAUUACCUACAGUAAACAAAAAAUUCAAGUAUAGAUUUUAGUCUAAAGCAAAUAGGAAAUGUCGCUUCCCUGGACGUUGGGAGAAGCAAACACGAAUCCUCUCCUGAGGCCGGAAGCGGUGGCUCACGCCUGUAAUCCCAGCACUUUGGGAGGCUGAGGCGGGCGGAUCAUUUUAUAACUAUCUAUUAAAUGUUUAAGUUUUCAGUCCAUUUUUCCUGUCUACAUGGAAUUGCCGACUGCACAAAGAACACAUGAGGGCUCUCUCAAGGCCAUCAUUUCCGCGGAGUCCCAUUUCCUGACUCAAAUGACAAGCUCUCAACUUUCUACUCAAGAUCAUUGAAACAUCUGUGUUGAUUAUUUGUAACCGGGAUAUGCUUUAUUUAUUAGAUAAGAGACUAACCGUUGAUGGCGGCAGCAGCCUGUCUGGAGCAGUCACUACAUAGACAUGCGACACCCACAGAUGGCGGCGGCCAGUCUGGAGCAGUCUCUGUAUAGACAUGCGACGCCCACAGAUGGCGGCGGCCAGUCCGGAGCAGUCUCUGCGUGGGCACGCGACGCCCACAGAUGGCGGCGGCCCGUCUGGAGCAGUCACUGCGUGGGCAUGCGACGCCCACAGAUGGCGGCGGCCUGUCUGGAGCAGUCUCUGCAUGGGCAUGCGACGCCCACAGAUGGCGGCGGCCUGUCUGCAGCAGUCUCUGCAUAGAUAUGUGACACGCACAGAUGGCGGCGGCCUGUCUGGAGCAGUCACUGUCAUGACACCAGCAGCAGUGGGGAGGUGGCGCCGGGGCUGCGUGCUCCACGGAGCUGGUGGGAGCCAGGAACAGGCAGAAGCCACCCACCUUCCAAGCCAGCAGGGAGAGAGCCUUGUGCUCCCCAGGUUCAGUGGCAGCUGCCCAGCCAUGGUUCCAGAUCUGCGCAUUCCUUUGCUCUUGGGGGUGGGAGUGGGCAGGAACCCCAUCCUCCUGGGUGCAGGUGCAGCUUCCCAACCAUGGCUGAGAAGGGGCUGAGGGCAGCUCCUUGGCACAAUCAGCCUGGACGCCAUAGAUGACGGCAGGAGGCAGAGAGGCUCUUGGGUGGAAAGGGGCAGGUCCACAGUGAAGGCCCACCCUGAAGCCAGGGAUGGCCUGAAGCCUGGGAGCUGGGCUGAGGGACCAGAAUGGGAAC
This 1894-nucleotide long non-coding RNA is filed under the name Homo sapiens (human). RNAcentral's name for it is "non-protein coding lnc-RAB40B-1:7". Lineage: Eukaryota; Metazoa; Chordata; Mammalia; Primates; Hominidae. The record is from RNAcentral.